RNAcentral lists this microRNA precursor (205 nucleotides) under Oryza glumipatula. Its description in RNAcentral is "MIR812 microRNA precursor family". It matches the Rfam family "MIR812 microRNA precursor family". The record is from Rfam by way of RNAcentral. Lineage: Eukaryota; Viridiplantae; Streptophyta; Magnoliopsida; Poales; Poaceae.
AAAGAGACAAACUCUGAUUUCCGUGUCCAACGUUUGACCGUCCAUCUUAUUUGAAAAAAAUAUGAAAAAAAUUAAAAAGACAAGUCACGCACAAAGUAUUAAUCAUGUUUUAUCAUCUAACAACAAUAAAAAUACGAAUUAUAAAAAAAUUUCAUAUAAGAUGGACAGUUAAAGUUGGACACGGAAAUCUAGGGUUUGUCUUUUU